CGGCAGGAUCGGGCAGGUUGGUGCGACAGGCCCGCCACAUCACGCUGGUUACCCGUCCCCUAGACAUUCUCUUUUUUUUGUUGGCCUCUUUGUUCUCGGUCGUUGUUGUGUGUUUGGUUUAUUGCUCUUUUUUUCCUUUGCUCGUCCUUGCAAGUGCGUCUGGCCGGGUGGGGCGGAUCGCGGCCGGCGUCUGCUUAUGGCCGGUCGCCCAAAGACCGGGCUCUCGUCGUCUGGCCCGGUACCGCCGAGUCGCGUAGAAUGGGCUCUAGUCGACCAAACAACGCACCAAUCAAAAAAAAGGCAGAAAGGUAUCGGCGACGCGCAGGCGAUGCGCACGGACCAACUCCACUUUGCUUUUGCAUCGAUUUGCUGCGAGAGCAAAACCCAAACUGAACCUCGAUCACGACCAAUUUGCGUCCUCCGCCCGAGUUUCAAUAUGGUCAGGCUCCCGAUUCCCACCAAUGUGUGAUUUUGUAUCCAACGGCAGGUUGUCGCCAUCUUUUGUGAUGAUGGCAACGAUGGCGACAAGCGCAGGCGCAAAGUCGAUCCUUGCCCCCAUCAACCAAACCGUGGCCAACUUAGUCUCUGUC
This 590-nucleotide long non-coding RNA is filed under the name Pandoravirus dulcis. Its description in RNAcentral is "putative ncRNA". The record is from RNAcentral.